Long non-coding RNA from Vicia villosa (hairy vetch), 661 nucleotides. RefSeq lists it as uncharacterized. NCBI's taxonomy places the organism in Eukaryota, Viridiplantae, Streptophyta, Magnoliopsida, Fabales, Fabaceae. The record is from RefSeq and is a predicted model, not a curated record. The transcript has 5 exons.
CAGGUUGUUGCAAAUUCUAGCUACUGAGGAAUAUAUGUUUGGUGUGUGUAAAUCUUGAAAAAUAGUACAUCACUAAUCCCGUGCUUAGCAUUCACACUUUCGAAAGAUCUGUUCUACAUCAAGCUCUUUUUGGAAUUUGUGCACCCAAAACUUCUAUUCAUAAGGCUCAUCUGAGCUAUACAGCACCUGAACUUUUGAUGGGCUCAACCAAUUACUCAACUGCAGCUGAUAUCUGGUAUAUGGGCUGCAUAUUUUCUCACAUCAUUAAGCGCCAACCGCUGUUCAAUGAUAUAGACAAGCAUAGGGUAUUGGCUGAGAUAUUCUGAUCUAUACUCAUUUUGCUAUAAAACAUGAGAUGGUCACUCUUUUAGAGUCUUGAGUAAAGCAACAUGUCAACAAUAAUUUAUUCGUUAUAAUAAAGACUAGAAUAAAGACUUGUUGGAUUCCAUGCUACCUCAAUGAAGCUCCUGAAUUUAACUCUUCCAUUGAUGGUGCCAAUAAAAUAACAAAACUGUAAAGAAUUGUUCUUUCCUGAAAUUUGGGGGCAAUUCAAUGCUGCUAAGAUAAAUUAGAAGUUGAUUUGUGCAUUGUUGGAAAGUCAAUUAUGGCCAUCGAGGAGUCACGUUCGGCAGGAGAGAACUAGUUUUCUUAAGGAGCAAAU